This 429-nucleotide ribosomal RNA is filed under the name Verrucomicrobiota bacterium. RNAcentral's name for it is "Verrucomicrobia bacterium partial 16S ribosomal RNA". It matches the Rfam family "Bacterial small subunit ribosomal RNA", at positions 355 to 776 of the family's 1533-position model. The record is from RNAcentral. Lineage: Bacteria; Pseudomonadati; Verrucomicrobiota.
UAGGGAAUCUUCCGCAAUGGACGAAAGUCUGACGGAGCAACGCCGCGUGAGUGAAGAAGGAUUUCGGUUCGUAAAACUCUGUUGUUAGGGAAGAAAAAAUGUAUAGUAACUAUAUACAAAAGAGACGGUACCUAACCAGAAAGCCACGGCUAACUACGUGCCAGCAGCCGCGGUAAUACGUAGGUGGCAAGCGUUGUCCGGAAUUAUUGGGCGUAAAGCGCGCGCAGGUGGUUUAGAAAGUCUGAUGUGAAAGCCCACGGCUCAACCGUGGAGGGUCAUUGGAAACUAAUAAACUUGAGUGCAGGAGAGAAUAGUGGAAUUCCUAGUGUAGCGGUGAAAUGCGUAGAGAUUAGGAGGAACACCGGUGGCGAAAGCGGCUUUUUGGCCUGCAACUGACACUGAGGCGCGAAAGCGUGGGGAGCAAACAGG